This 434-nucleotide ribosomal RNA is filed under the name uncultured microorganism. RNAcentral describes it as "bacterial SSU rRNA". It matches the Rfam family "Bacterial small subunit ribosomal RNA", at positions 366 to 794 of the family's 1533-position model. The record is from RNAcentral.
CGGCAAUGGGCGAAAGCCUGACCGAGCGACGCCGCGUGCGGGAUGAAGGCCUUCGGGUUGUAAACCGCUGUCAGAGGGGAUGAAAUGCUGGGGGGCACUCCCCCAGUUUGACAAAUCCUCAGAGGAAGUACGGGCUAAGUUCGUGCCAGCAGCCGCGGUAACACGAACCGUACGAACGUUAUUCGGAAUUACUGGGCUUAAAGGGUGCGUAGGCGGUCCUCCAAGUUGGGUGUGAAAGCCCUCGGGCUCAACCGAGGAACUGCGCCCAAAACUGUUGGGCUAGAGGGAGACAGAGGUGAGCGGAACUUAGGGUGGAGCGGUGAAAUGCGUUGAUAUCCUAAGGAACACCUGUGGCGAAAAGCGGCUCACUGGGUCUCUUCUGACGCUGAGGCACGAAAGCUGGGGGAGCGAACGGGAUUAGAUACCCCUGUAGU